This 440-nucleotide ribosomal RNA is filed under the name uncultured bacterium. RNAcentral describes it as "partial 16S ribosomal RNA". It matches the Rfam family "Bacterial small subunit ribosomal RNA", at positions 338 to 795 of the family's 1533-position model. The record is from RNAcentral.
CCUACGGGGGGCAGCAGUGGGGAAUAUUGCACAAUGGGGGAAACCCUGAUGCAGCGACGCCGCGUGAGUGAAGAAGUAUUUCGGUAUGUAAAGCCCUAUCAGCAGGGAAGAAAAUGACGGUACCCGAUUAAGAAGCCCCGGCUAACUACGUGCCAGCAGCCGUGGUAAUACGUAGGGGGCAAGCGUUAUCCGGAUUUACUGGGGGGAAAGGGAGCGUAGGCGGCAGCACAAGUCUGGAGUGAAAUGCCGGGGCUUAACCCCGGAACUGCUUUGGAAACUGUGCAGCUAGAGUGCAGGAGAGGUAAGUGGAAUUCCUAGUGUAGCGGUGAAAUGCGUAGAUAUUAGGAGGAACACCAGUGGCGAAGGCGGCUUACUGGACUGUAACUGACGUUGAGGCUCGAAAGCGUGGGGAGCAAACAGGAUUAGAUACCCGAGUAGUC